CAUGGUUGUUGAUUUAACUACUUCAGAGGGAAGUAUUUAUUAAUCUAAUUUCCACUGUUUUCUAUUUCCUAUCUUCUUUUAUCCCAGAAAACUACCAAUCCCAAACAACCAUAUUAAGUACCAAUUAAGGAAAGAUUUGUCAUUCCAGCUCAAGACCAUUGAACUGGGGCUGGAGCUACAUAUCUCCUAGCUUUCUGACAGAAAUUAUUUUAAUUGGACUUUUCCUAACAGCAUUAAAACAAACCUUGUGCUGCCAGGGAAGGAAGAUAUGACUCCUCAGUCAGAUAAUUUACUUUUUUUUCUUCCUUACCAUAAAUCUUAGUAUGAAGAUUAUUAGUAACUUAAGUCUAUUUUUUUUUAAAAGGCAUCCAACUGUGACCACUUUAAGCACUGAAAAACUUCACAUGUCAAGUAUAAAUGUCCUGUUGCCAGUUGAUUUACUUUCACACAUUUGUUGCGUGUUUUAAAUAUUUCUACACAAUUUAAUUUCUAUCUAUUUAAAUAUCUAAUUUUAUUUGGAUUUUAAAAUGGUCCUGAUUAAUUGGUCUGUAAUGCAGUUUGAACUCAAAGAUGUAUAGAUAAAUUAAGCAUAUUAUCCAUGUUUGACUAGCUACAGCUAUCAAGAAAAAGAUGCAUUUCCUGGGGAGGUUUGUUGAUAUGCCUAAAAUCCAACCAAGUCUGAUUCUAGUUGAAUGACCUUUUUGUCAGAAUUUUGUGGAGAAGUUAAAAUCCACCAACACAGAAUCUGACUAAACUCUGGAUAAGUUUGUUUGGAACCCUGGGUGUUUUCCUUACAGAAAUGUAAAUUCUUCCAGAAUAGAAGGGUAAGUUUUGCAAUGUUUCACUAAUAUGGGUGUGUGGUGCCCCAGAAUUUCUAGCAUAGCCUGCCCAGUGCUCCAUGUGGUUAAGUAAACACAGCAUGGGUGUUGGGGCAUGUGGCCAAUGCUGAGGCCAGGAUGAGGCUGGGAGGAAAUAAGAGCAAAUUCCUCUGAAAUGAUCUGACAGGAAAUGACAGAGUGUCAGCCUUCUAUAACCAUACUCAGAGAGAGAGAGAGGGCGGGAGAAGUUCUUCCUAAACACAGAGUGGUGCCAGAUCUCAGUAGGUGAGGAUGAUGAAAUAAUAAAGCAUUUCCCGUGUGUGUUUUUCAUUAGUCCUAUUUUGUUUUUCUUCCAAGUGCUGUGGAAACAGAACAGAAGCCCAUGCUUCAGCCAGGACCGCAAUGGCCUCCUCCCGUGGGAGUAACAGCUGCACAAAUAGGAGGGAAAUCCUCAGUGGAAUUGCUUCCAACACCUUUCUAAUGGAAAUAAUGAUUUGCAAAACCCAAUUUAUGCCUCUGCCACAUAAUUAGUAGCCAAAAGAACUAAAGAUUAAAAACACUGUUCCAAGUCCCAGCAUCUUUGAAUUUGGCAAGACCUUAAAUAUUGCACUCUGUGUUCCAAACAGGUUGCCUAUAUGUGAGCAUUGCAAGGAAAGUCUUAGUCAGUUGAAUCAAGCCCUUGAAUCAGUCAACACUUAUUAUGUGGAAAUUAACCAGUUUGAUGUCAAUUAGUGGAAAUUUGUUAGCAGGCAUACCCUGUGGGACAGUUUAUUUUGAAUUCCGAAUACUCUUUAUUGAAGCCAGCUAAGAUAGUUGAUGUGGUCCCUGACUCCUUCUUUAAAAAUCAGAGUAGAAUUAGUUAAGAAACAGCUAAGAAACACAGAAAGAAAAGGCUACAUCGAAACACUCUUCAACACUCAAAACCUACCGCUCCAAAAUAUCCUUUGUUGAAUGGGCAUAAGUGCAAGGAAAUCAAGAUCUGAUUUUCUGUUUUAAGAAGGAACAGAAGUAUUAGAUGCCUGUUCUGUAUUUGUCAAUAUUGAGCACUGGAUGGGAAAGUCAGUUGUUCUAACGACAAUGCUCAAAACUAGCCACAUGCUCACCUUAAACGUUUUCCAUCUAUAAAGCUGGUGUUACUUUCCCAUCAUGUUGCUCACAUCAGAUGCACCAAGAUGAAGAACAGUGACAACAUAGUUGUUCACCCAUAACCCCAGGACAUCAGCAUCAUUCCAGGAAUGGUGGGUGUUAUGGUACUGGGAAGAUGAAUUGGCUGUGAUGUCAGAAUCCUGAGGAGCACCAAAGAUGGAUCAGAUACUACACAACUUACCCAGAAAGACUGGCAUGUGACAUCACUCUGAAUGAAGUCCAGGAAAUAAUGCUUCUAGAAAUUAUGCUUCCUGAAGUGAAGUCACAGCAUUUGAAAACUCUGAUUGUCAGGAAUGAUGAUAUCUAGUCCCAGAAGUACCACUUCCUUUCAUUCAGAGUCCUGGCAUACGUAUUGGCAGAACAGCAAGUUGGAAGGCUGAAAAACCCAACCAUAUCUCAUCUAAGGAACAUACAGUUUACCAUACCAGAUUGGACCAAUUAUCCAUCAAGACUGGAGUUCUGUCUUGCUAGUGGCCUAUGUUUGAUGCUCCGAAAGAAAAACAGCUGGCCAAUUAUGCAGGGUUCGCCAUGGUGGAAAGGGGGGAGGGUUACUUCAUAUCUCUAUGGUAAUCAUCACCCUGAUUUAUGCAGUUUGAUUGCCCCAUUCUAGCAA
Molecule: long non-coding RNA, 2577 nt
Organism: Chelonia mydas (Green sea turtle)
Lineage: Eukaryota; Metazoa; Chordata; Testudines; Cheloniidae
Exons: 3
Source: RefSeq, a predicted model, not a curated record